GCUGAAACUCGCCUACAUGAAGCUGGAGUUACUAGUAAUCGCAGAUCAGAAUGCUGCGGUGAAUGCGUUCCCGGGUCUUGUACACACCGCCCGUCACACCACGGGAGUUGGAGACGCCCGAAGCCGAUUAUCUAACCUUUUGGAAGAAGUCGUCGAAGGUGGAAUCAAUAACUGGGGUGAAGUCGUAACAAGGUAGCCGUAUCGGAAGGUGCGGCUGGAUCACCUCCUUU
Molecule: ribosomal RNA, 230 nt
Filed under: Clostridioides difficile
Lineage: Bacteria; Bacillati; Bacillota; Clostridia; Peptostreptococcales; Peptostreptococcaceae
Description: partial 16S ribosomal RNA
Rfam family: Bacterial small subunit ribosomal RNA
Source: RNAcentral